This 702-nucleotide ribosomal RNA is filed under the name Dinophysis caudata. Its description in RNAcentral is "LSU rRNA". It matches the Rfam family "Eukaryotic large subunit ribosomal RNA", at positions 37 to 657 of the family's 3401-position model. The record is from RNAcentral. Lineage: Eukaryota; Dinophyceae; Dinophysales; Dinophysaceae.
AGCAUAUAAGUAAGCGGAGGACAAAGAAACUAAACAGGAUCCCCAUAGUAAUGGCGAAUGAACCGGGAUAAACUCAGCAUGGAAAUUGGGGCCUUUGGCUUUGACUUGUAAUCUGGUGAGGCAUUGCCAACAGAGGCGCAUAUGUAAGUCUCUUGGAAAAGAGCAUCAACGAAGGUGAGAGUCCUGAUUGUCAUGUGCAGCCCCCCUGUGCACGGUGUGCCUUCUAAGAGUCACGUUCCUUGGGAUUGGAGCGCAAAUUGGGUGGUAACUUUCAUCUGAAGUUAAACAAGGGUUUGGGACCGAUAGGAAACAAGUACCAUGAGGGAAAGGUGAAAAGGACUUUGGAAAGAGAGUUAAAAGUGCCUGAAAUUGCUGAAGGGGAAGCGAAUGGAACCAGUAGUGCUGGGUGAGAUUGUCACAUGCUACAAGGAUUGGUUGCUGCCACAACGCAAGUGUGAUGGCAAUUUGUGAAUUGCUAGUGUGUGGUGUGUCUUACCUAGUGGGUCAUUGUGGGUUUAUGCAUUAAGAUAAGUCAAAGCAAGCGGGAGCAAGUUUACGAGUUUGUGAAUGUGUGUUGUUAUGCUUGUGCGUAAGCUUUAAGGUUUGUCUGGCUGCAGGGCUGUCCAUCCUCGAGCUGAGGGUUGCGAUGAGCAUAACCUUCUGCGCAGAUCUUGACGAAAUGGUUCAUUCGACCCGUCUUGA